GCAAAGAUAAAAACGCAACGCAGGGGCCUCUCUCCUGCCAGAGCCGGUAGGUAGCCCGGCCGCACCGUCAGGUGUAAGUAACCCUCCCUCCUUAGGGUCGUCCGUUCUUUGUUUAUUA
This 118-nucleotide non-coding RNA is filed under the name uncultured Mediterraneibacter sp. RNAcentral describes it as "yjdF RNA". It matches the Rfam family "azaaromatic riboswitch aptamer (yjdF RNA)". Lineage: Bacteria; Bacillati; Bacillota; Clostridia; Lachnospirales; Lachnospiraceae. The record is from RNAcentral.